AAAAGAAGAAAUUUAGUCGUGAAUCCAAACAACGUAACGGAAGAAGAGGCGAAGCGUGGGUAGAAGGUCGCGUCGGUUGCCAUGGAGACACGUCUCACCUUCGCAGCGGGAGGAGUUUGUUCCUCUGCAGCCGGUUCCGUCUCCUCCGACCGGUUCCUCUCUGCAAAUCAGAAUUCAAACAUGAAGCCUGAAGCUGUUCUUCCCAAGUGACGGGCAUGGGGCUGUCAGUCGUCUCCUCGCCUUCUUCAGCCAUGAUCAUCAUCUUCUUCUUCUUCUUGCCUUCCUUUGGAAGUGGAGUCGAUGCCGUCUCAGGAGGUCCGGAGCUCUCCUCCUUUUCCUCCUCCUCCUCUGUUUGCUUCUUCUUUUUCUUCUUCGGCGGUUGGUUUUCCUUUGAGGAAUUCUCUUCUUGCUCUCCGUUCAUUUUAAUCAUCUUCUUCUUCUUCUUUGGUGUGUCGUCGCUCUUCUGGGCGGGGUCACCUUGGGGCGUCUCCUCCGCGGUCGCCUUUUGUCUGCAAGAAUGAUUGAUGUUACUUGUGAUUAAUGAUUGUGAUUUACAAUGAAGGUAUUGCUGAUGUAACUAUACUUGUUAAAUGUUUGACUCUAAUCUAAAUAUAUUUUGUGUUUAUUCCACAUUGA
Gasterosteus aculeatus aculeatus (three-spined stickleback) is the source of this 636-nucleotide long non-coding RNA. The record is from Ensembl. Lineage: Eukaryota; Metazoa; Chordata; Actinopteri; Perciformes; Gasterosteidae.